This 468-nucleotide ribosomal RNA is filed under the name uncultured bacterium. RNAcentral describes it as "partial 16S ribosomal RNA". It matches the Rfam family "Bacterial small subunit ribosomal RNA", at positions 28 to 507 of the family's 1533-position model. The record is from RNAcentral.
GACGAACGCUGGCGGCGUGCUUAACACAUGCAAGUCGAACGGAAAGGCCCUGCUUUUGUGGGGUGCUCGAGUGGCGAACGGGUGAGUAACACGUGAGUAACCUGCCCUUGACUUUGGGGUAACUUCAGGAAACUUGGGCUAAUACCGGAUAGGAGCUCCUGCUGCAUGGUGUGCGUUGGACAGUUUCGGCGGUUGGGGAUGGACUCGCGGCUUAUCAGCUUGUUGGUGGGGUAGUGGCUUACCAAGGCUUUGACGGGUAGCCGGCCUGAGAGGGUGACCGGCCACAUUGGGACUGAGAUACGGCCCAGACUCCUACGGGAGGCAGCAGUGGGGAAUAUUGCACAAUGGGCGGAAGCCUGAUGCAGCAACGCCGCGUGCGGGAUGACGGCCUUCGGGUUGUAAACCGCUUUCGCCUGUGACGAAGCGUGAGUGACGGUAAUGGGUAAAGAAGCACCGGCUAACUACGUG